UGGGGAAUCUUAGACAAUGGGGGCAACCCUGAUCUAGCCAUGCCGCGUGAGUGAUGAAGGCCUUAGGGUCGUAAAGCUCUUUCGCUGGGGAAGAUAAUGACGGUACCCAGUAAAGAAACCCCCGGCUAACUCCGUGCCAGCAGCCGCGGUAAUACGGAGGGGGUUAGCGUUGUUCGGAAUUACUGGGCGUAAAGCGCGCGUAGGCGGAUCGGAAAGUUGGGGGUGAAAUCCCGGAGGCUCAACCCCGGAAUUGCCUUCAAAACCUCCCGGUCUUGAGGUCGAGAGAGGUGAGUGGAAUUCCGAGUGUAGAGGUGAAAUUCGUAGAUAUUCGGAGGAACACCAGUGGCGAAGGCGGCUCACUGGCUCGAUACUGACGCUGAGGUGCGAAAGCGUGGGGAGC
This 400-nucleotide ribosomal RNA is filed under the name uncultured bacterium. RNAcentral's name for it is "bacterial SSU rRNA". It matches the Rfam family "Bacterial small subunit ribosomal RNA", at positions 355 to 769 of the family's 1533-position model. The record is from RNAcentral.